UACGAAGGGGGCUAGCGUUGCUCGGAAUCACUGGGCGUAAAGCGCACGUAGGCGGGUCGUUAAGUCAGGGGUGAAAUCCUGGAGCUCAACUCCAGAACUGCCGUUGAUACUGGCGAUCUCGAGUUCGGGAGAGGUGAGUGGAACUGCGAGUGUAGAGGUGAAAUUCGUAGAUAUUCGCAAGAACACCAGUGGCGAAGGCGGCUCACUGGCCCGAUACUGACGCUGAGGUGCGAAAGCGUGGGGAGCAAACAGG
Molecule: ribosomal RNA, 253 nt
Filed under: uncultured bacterium
Lineage: Bacteria
Description: partial 16S ribosomal RNA
Rfam family: Bacterial small subunit ribosomal RNA
Source: RNAcentral